UACGAAGGGGGCUAGCGUUGUUCGGAAUCACUGGGCGUAAAGCGCGUGUAGGCGGCUUGUUAAGUUGGUUGUGAAAACCCAUGGCUCAACCAUGGAAGGGCGUCCAAAACUGGCAAGCUAGUGUCCCGACGAGGAUGGCGGAAUUCCCAGUGUAGAGGUGAAAUUCGUAGAUAUUGGGAGGAACACCGGUGGCGAAGGCGGCCAUCUGGGAGGGCACUGACGCUGAGACGCGAAAGCGUGGGGAGCAAACAGG
Molecule: ribosomal RNA, 253 nt
Filed under: uncultured bacterium
Lineage: Bacteria
Description: partial 16S ribosomal RNA
Rfam family: Bacterial small subunit ribosomal RNA
Source: RNAcentral